AGUGAACGCUGGCGGUAGGCCUAACACAUGCAAGUCGAACGGCAGCACAGUAAGAGCUUGCUCUUACGGGUGGCGAGUGGCGGACGGGUGAGGCAUACAUCGGAAUCUACUUUUUCGUGGGGGAUAACGUAGGGAAACUUACGCUAAUACAGCAUACGACCUACGGGUGAAAGCAGGGGAUAUUCGGACUUUGCGCGAUUGAAUGAGUCGAUGUCGGAUUAGCUAGUUGGCGGGGUAAAGGCCAACCAAGGCGACGAUCCGUAGCUGGUCUGAGAGGAUGAUCAGCCACACUGGAACUGAGACACGGUCCAGACUCCUACGGGAGGCAGCAGUGGGGAAUAUUGCACAAUGGGCGCAAGCCUGAUCCAGCCAUACCGCGUGUGUGAAGAAGGCCUUCGGGUUGUAAAGCCCUUUUGUUGGGAAAGAAAAGCAGCAGGUUAAUACCCCGCUGUUCUGACGGUACCCAAAGAAUAAGCACCGGCUAACUUCGUG
RNAcentral lists this ribosomal RNA (492 nucleotides) under uncultured bacterium. RNAcentral describes it as "partial 16S ribosomal RNA". It matches the Rfam family "Bacterial small subunit ribosomal RNA", at positions 29 to 507 of the family's 1533-position model. The record is from RNAcentral.